Molecule: ribosomal RNA, 394 nt
Filed under: Eodemus pseudohastatoides
Lineage: Eukaryota; Metazoa; Arthropoda; Malacostraca; Decapoda; Portunidae
Description: partial 16S ribosomal RNA
Rfam family: Bacterial large subunit ribosomal RNA (bases 43-394)
Source: RNAcentral
ACAAGGAAAGUACUGUCUUUUUUAUUAAAAUUGAAAUUAACUUCCAAGUGAAAAGGCUUGGAUUAACUAAGGGGACGAUAAGACCCUAUAAAACUUUAUAAGUUUAAAGAUCUCUACUAUUUUUUUUAUAAAGUUUUUUUUGAUAGCUUAUUUGGUUGGGGCGACAAAGGUAUAAUUAUGAAUAACUGCCAUUAAAAUUAAUACAUUUAUUGAUGAUUGUUGAUAAAUAGUUGAUCCUUUUUAAAGAUUAAAAGAUCAAGUUACUUUAGGGAUAACAGCGUAAUUUCUUCUGAGAGUCCUUAUCAAAGAGGAAGUUUGCGACCUCGAUGUUGAAUUAAAAGUUCUUUAUAGUGCAGCAGCUAUAGAAGAAGGUCUGUUCGACCUUUAAUUUUUU